This 250-nucleotide ribosomal RNA is filed under the name uncultured bacterium. RNAcentral's name for it is "partial 16S ribosomal RNA". It matches the Rfam family "Bacterial small subunit ribosomal RNA", at positions 524 to 773 of the family's 1533-position model. The record is from RNAcentral.
UACGGAGGGUGCGAGCGUUAAUCGGACUGACUGGGCGUAAAGGGCAUGUAGGCGGUUAGUUAAGUUAGGUGUGAAAUCCUUGGGCUCAACCUGAGAAUGGCACUUAAAACUGGUUAACUAGAGUUUUGUAGGGGAAGGUAGAAUUCCAUGUGUAGCGGUGAAAUGCGUAGAGAUGUGGAGGAAUACCGGUGGCGAAGGCGGCCUUCUGGACAAAAACUGACGCUGAGAUGCGAAAGCGUGGGUAGCAAAC